This is a small nucleolar RNA of Esox lucius (northern pike), 70 nucleotides long. The record is from Ensembl. Lineage: Eukaryota; Metazoa; Chordata; Actinopteri; Esociformes; Esocidae.
CGGCAAUGAUGAAUACAUUUCUUCAACUGAACAACCAUGUGGCUUUAUGAGCUUUUUAACCCUGAGCCCA